ACCCCGGAAGGGGAGUGAAAUAGAUCCUGAAACCGUGUGCAUACAAACAGUAGGAGCGGACUUGUUCCGUGACUGCGUACCUUUUGUAUAAUGGGUCAGCGACUUACAUUCAGUGGCAAGGUUAACCGGAUAGGGAAGCCGUAGAGAAAUCGAGUCCGAAUAGGGCGAUCAGUCGCUGGGUGUAGACCCGAAACCAAGUGAUCUACUCAUGGCCAGGAUGAAGGUGCGGUAACACGCCCUGGAGGUCCGAACCCA
This 255-nucleotide ribosomal RNA is filed under the name Janthinobacterium sp. FT14W. Its description in RNAcentral is "partial 23S ribosomal RNA". It matches the Rfam family "Bacterial large subunit ribosomal RNA", at positions 523 to 782 of the family's 2925-position model. The record is from RNAcentral. Lineage: Bacteria; Pseudomonadati; Pseudomonadota; Betaproteobacteria; Burkholderiales; Oxalobacteraceae.